Molecule: ribosomal RNA, 119 nt
Filed under: Pomacea canaliculata
Lineage: Eukaryota; Metazoa; Mollusca; Gastropoda; Architaenioglossa; Ampullariidae
Source: RNAcentral
GCCUACGGCCAUACCACGUUGAACACACCGGUUCUCGUCCGAUCACCAAAGUUAAGCAACGUCGGGCCCGGUUAGUACUUUGAUGGGUGACCGCCUGGGAACACCGGGUGCUGUAGGCA